This 301-nucleotide ribosomal RNA is filed under the name uncultured bacterium. RNAcentral describes it as "partial 16S ribosomal RNA". It matches the Rfam family "Bacterial small subunit ribosomal RNA", at positions 509 to 807 of the family's 1533-position model. The record is from RNAcentral.
CAGUCGCCACGGGAAUACGAAGGGGGCUAGCGUUGUUCGGAAUUACUGGGCGUAAAGCGCACGUAGGCGGACAUUUAAGUCAGGGGUGAAAUCCCGGGGCUCAACCCCGGAACUGCCUUUGAUACUGGGUGUCUAGAGUAUGGAAGAGGUGAGUGGAAUUCCGAGUGUAGAGGUGAAAUUCGUAGAUAUUCGGAGGAACACCAGUGGCGAAGGCGGCUCACUGGUCCAUUACUGACGCUGAGGUGCGAAAGCGUGGGGAGCAAACAGGAUUAGAUACCCCGGUAGUCCCUGUCUCUUAUAC